CGCUAGCUACAGGCUUAACACAUGCAAGUCGAGGGGCAGCAUGGUCUUAGCUUGCUAAGGCCGAUGGCGACCGGCGCACGGGUGAGUAACACGUAUCCAACCUGCCGUCUACUCUUGGACAGCCUUCUGAAAGGAAGAUUAAUACAAGAUGGCAUCAUGAGUCCGCAUGUUCACAUGAUUAAAGGUAUUCCGGUAGACGAUGGGGAUGCGUUCCAUUAGAUAGUAGGCGGGGUAACGGCCCACCUAGUCUUCGAUGGAUAGGGGUUCUGAGAGGAAGGUCCCCCACAUUGGAACUGAGACACGGUCCAAACUCCUACGGGAGGCAGCAGUGAGGAAUAUUGGUCAAUGGGCGAGAGCCUGAACCAGCCAAGUAGCGUGAAGGAUGACUGCCCUAUGGGUUGUAAACUUCUUUUAUAAAGGAAUAAAGUCGGGUAUGGAUACCCGUUUGCAUGUACUUUAUGAAUAAGGAUCGGCUAACUCCGUGCCAGCAGCCGCGGUAAUACGGAGGAUCCGAGCGUUAUCCGGAUUUAUUGGGUUUAAAGGGAGCGUAGAUGGAUGUUUAAGUCAGUUGUGAAAGUUUGCGGCUCAACCGUAAAAUUGCAGUUGAUACUGGAUAUCUUGAGUGCAGUUGAGGCAAGCGGAAUUCGUGGUGUAGCGGUGAAAUGCUUAGAUAUCACGAAGAACUCCGAUUGCGGAAGGCAGCUUGCUAAGCUGCAACUGACAUUGAGGCUCGAAAGUGUGGGUAUCAAACAGGAUUAGAUACCCUGGUAGUCCACACGGUAAACGAUGAAUACUCGCUGUUUGCGAUAUACAGCAAGCGGCCAAGCGAAAGCGUUAAGUAUUCCACCUGGGGAGUACGCCGGCAACGGUGAAACUCAAAGGAAUUGACGGGGGCCCGCACAAGCGGAGGAACAUGUGGUUUAAUUCGAUGAUACGCGAGGAACCUUACCCGGGCUUAAAUUGCAGAUGAAUUACGGUGAAAGCCGUAAGCCGCAAGGCAUCUGUGAAGGUGCUGCAUGGUUGUCGUCAGCUCGUGCCGUGAGGUGUCGGCUUAAGUGCCAUAACGAGCGCAACCCUUGUUGUCAGUUACUAACAGGUUCCGCUGAGGACUCUGACAAGACUGCCAUCGUAAGAUGUGAGGAAGGUGGGGAUGACGUCAAAUCAGCACGGCCCUUACGUCCGGGGCUACACACGUGUUACAAUGGGGGGUACAGAGGGCCGCUACCACGCGAGUGGAUGCCAAUCCCCAAAACCUCUCUCAGUUCGGACUGGAGUCUGCAACCCGACUCCACGAAGCUGGAUUCGCUAGUAAUCGCGCAUCAGCCACGGCGCGGUGAAUACGUUCCCGGGCCUUGUACACACCGCCCGUCAAGCCAUGGGAGCCGGGGGUACCUGAAGUGCGUAACCGCGAGGAGCGCCCUAGGGUAAAACUGGUGAAUGGGG
This 1443-nucleotide ribosomal RNA is filed under the name uncultured organism. RNAcentral's name for it is "SSU rRNA". It matches the Rfam family "Bacterial small subunit ribosomal RNA". The record is from RNAcentral.